UUAAUUCACUUUCCAAUCUAUUCGCCAACUAUUCAAACAACGUCAGCAAGCUGUCGCCAUCUGAACGUCAACAAGAGACCAGAAGGAACUGCCCUAAAGGUAUUCGUUGCAAACCUCAAUCCCAAUCGCCACAUUCCGCCAAGGGUUAUAACACUCCCGAAGGAGCCACAUCCCCUUAACCUUUUUAUGACAAUCAAAAUUGAUGCUAACCAGCAGACAACAAAGUACGCGCUAGCAUAGUUAAACUUACUUGAUGACGGUUUUGACACUCGCCACCAGGUAAAUUUAG
This 289-nucleotide ribosomal RNA is filed under the name uncultured Glomeromycotina. Its description in RNAcentral is "partial large subunit ribosomal RNA". Lineage: Eukaryota; Fungi; Glomeromycota. The record is from RNAcentral.